GCCCAGGUGGUGAAAUUGGUAGACACGCUACUUUGAGGGGGUAGUGACCGAAAGGUUGUGCUGGUUCGAAUCCAGUCCUGGGCAC
Molecule: transfer RNA, 85 nt
Filed under: Bacteroidota bacterium
Lineage: Bacteria; Pseudomonadati; Bacteroidota
Also listed under: 1 other name
Description: tRNA-Leu
Rfam family: tRNA
About the family: Transfer RNA (tRNA) molecules are approximately 80 nucleotides in length. Their secondary structure includes four short double-helical elements and three loops (D, anti-codon, and T loops).
Source: RNAcentral